This 425-nucleotide ribosomal RNA is filed under the name uncultured bacterium. RNAcentral describes it as "bacterial SSU rRNA". It matches the Rfam family "Bacterial small subunit ribosomal RNA", at positions 356 to 773 of the family's 1533-position model. The record is from RNAcentral.
GGGGAAUUUUGGACAAUGGGGGAAACCCUGAUCCAGCAAUGCCGCGUGUGUGAAGAAGGCCUUCGGGUUGUAAAGCACUUUUGUUCGGAACGAAACGGCGCCGGCUAAUACCUGGCGCUAAUGACGGUACCGGAAGAAUAAGCACCGGCUAACUACGUGCCAGCAGCCGCGGUAAUACGUAGGGUGCAAGCGUUAAUCGGAAUUACUGGGCGUAAAGCGAGCGCAGGCGGUUAUGUAAGACAGAUGUGAAAUCCCCGGGCUUAACCUGGGAACUGCAUUUGUGACUGCAUGGCUAGAGUGUGUCAGAGGGGGGUGGAAUUCCACGUGUAGCAGUGAAAUGCGUAGAGAUGUGGAGGAACACCGAUGGCGAAGGCAGCCCCCUGGGAUAACACUGACGCUCAUGCUCGAAAGCGUGGGGAGCAAAC